GUGUCAGGGGCGGGGUGAGGGGACAGGUGGUGGUGGUGGUGGUGGUGUCCCUGCGCGCGCUGUCUCUUUAAGGUUGGUCUCGUACCGCGCGCUGUCUCCGCACGCUGAGCUCGUGCGCCUCGCGUCUUAAUUACAGCGCGGAGCUCGCGCACAGCAGGUGCAUCCCGCAUCUCUAUCAGCCACGUUCACGCAGGCAGCUGAAAUGGACCAGAAAGUCAAUUUGUCGAGCUUCGUUAUGUUAUUUUCACCAGUAUCUGCCUGCAUGUAGCUUAAGACCCAGGGCUCCGUCAUAGUUUGAAUACUGAUCUGUCUGUGUGCGGUUUACUGAACCCGCAAGAGUAGUUCAAGCAACAUGCGCUUUAAUUCAAAUGCGACAGGUUUUUCUCAAUGCGGCUCGUUCUUUUGUUGCAUGCGCACUUCCUAACUAUGGGACUUCUAUGCGUUUUCAGUGACUGCUCACGCGCUUAUUCUGCAAACACCACGCAAAGAUCACUGUUUUGCUAUAAUAAUCGAUCCAAACCCACCAGACGAGCGGGACAAUGGCGUUGCGGGUCAGAGAAAGCGUCCUGCUGAUUUUCAUUCACAUCUGCCUAUGCACUGGCUUUCGGUUGCGUCUGGAGGACAGUCCGCCUCGGAUCAUAGAAGACCCAUCUGAUCUGAUUGUGUCUAAAGGAGAACCAGCUACACUGAACUGCAAAGCUGAGGGGCGGCCUAUGCCGAAUGUGGAGUGGUACAAAGAUGGAGAACAUGUAGAGACAGAUAAAGAUGACCCGCGUUCACACCGCAUGCUGUUGCCCAGCGGCUCGCUCUUCUUCCUGCGGAUUGUGCAUGGCCGCCGCAGCAAGCCUGACGAAGGCAUCUACACCUGUGUGGCCCGUAACUACCUCGGGGAGGCAGUGAGUCGCAACGCCUCGUUGGAGGUGGCCACGCUGAGAGAUGAUUUCCGCCAGGCCCCGAGUGAUGUGGUGGUUGCUGCCGGUGAACCUGCCGUGCUGGAGUGCAUCCCACCACGCGGUCACCCAGAGCCCAGCAUCUACUGGAAGAGGAACAACGUCCGAGUGAGCGACAAAGACAGCAGGAUCUCUAUGCGUGGUGGCAAGCUGAUGAUCUCACACACUCGGAAAAGUGACGCAGGCAUGUACGUGUGCGUCGGCUCCAACAUGGUGGGAGAGAGGGACAGCGAUCCGGCCGAGCUGGUGGUUUUCGAGAGACCAGUGUUCAUCCGUAGGCCUGUGAAUCAAAUAGUGCUGACAGAGGAAACAGUUGAUUUCCUGUGCGAGGUCCAUGGAGAUCCGGCUCCCACCAUCCGCUGGAGACGCGAAGGGGGAGAGCUGCCUCGCGCCAGAUUUGAGAUCCGCAGUGACAACACUCUCCGUCUGGUGAAGGUGCGAGAGGAGGACGAGGGAACUUACACAUGUGUGACAGAAAACAGCGUGGGGAGAACCGAGGCUUCGGCAACGCUGCAAGUCCACGUCCCUCCACAGAUUGUCCUCCAGCCCCAGGACCAGGUCUCAGCCCAAGGCCAGACUGUCACAUUCCACUGUGGCACAAAAGGCAACCCUCCUCCAGCAGUUUUCUGGCAGAAAGAAGGGAAUCAGAUGCUGCUAUUCCCAGGGCAGCCUCCCUCUCAGGCUGGACGCUACUCUGUGUCUAUGAGCGGUGAGCUAAUCAUCACUGCUGUCCAAAGUGAAGAUUCUGGGUACUACAUAUGCCAAGCCAUCAGCGUGGCAGGCAGUACUGUCUCCAAAGCCUUCCUGAAGGUAGUCACUGGGCCCUCAGAUCGCAUUCCCCCAAUCAUCCACCAAGGCCCAGGUAACCAGACGCUGACACGGGGCUCCAGUGCCAAGCUCCAGUGCCAUGUAAUGGGCAUCCCACCCCCCAGCAUCAGGUGGGAGAAGGACGGGCAGAGACUCUCAGCAGAUGGAGUCCACAUCAAUCUGAUUGAAAAUGGCACUUUACACAUCAGCAGCCUGCAGGAGACCGACUCAGGGAUGUACACGUGUGUAGCCUCCAGUUCCACAGGAGAGACGAGGUGGAGUGGCACCAUCACUGUGAGAGAUACAGAGACGUCAUCCCUGGUCCGGCUCUCUCAGACCCUGCAGCUGCCUGGUCCCCCACUGAAGCCUGCCGUGACGGACGUGAGCCAGAGCAGCGUCACGCUGACGUGGCAGCCCAACCAGCAUGAAGGAGGCGCUGCUGUCACCUCCUACAUUAUCGAAGCUUUUAGUCAGUCAGUGGGAAACACAUGGCAGACUGUUGCAGAUCAAGUGAAGCAGGAGAAGCACACAGUGUCUGGUCUCUUCCCAAACACUGUGUACCUUUUCAUUGUGCGUGCAGUGAACUCGUAUGGCCUGAGUGACCCAAGCCCCAUCUCAGAGCCUGUCAGAACACAAGGCAAUCUUCCUGCAAAGAUCACACUAGAUGGCAGUCCCAGCAGUUCACCAAUCGAUCUCAGGCGUGUACAAGCGGAUUUAGCAGAGGUCACGGUGUAUGUGCAUCCUCCAGAGAUCCUGACUCCUACAAGCAUACAGAUCACAUGGACUGUUGAGCGUGAGCCGUACUACAUUCAGGGUUACAGGCUGCUGUACAGGCCGUCGGGCGGUGCCUGGCUGGUUCAGGACAUAAAGGCAGCGUCCAAACACACAGCAGUGUUAUCAGAGCUGCACAGAGGCAGAGAGUAUGAGCUCAAAUUGAGGCCCUACUUCAAAGAGUUCCAGGGCUCUGACAGUGAGCUAGUAGUGUUUCGCACCCCAGAGGAGGUGCUAUGUGGCCCCCCACAGGCUGUCAAUGUGGUCCAGUUGGAUAACAGCUCCACAGUGCGAGUGUCCUGGGAGCCUCCUUUUGCUGAUAUCCAGGAUGAGCCCAUUUUGGAGUACAGGGUGUGGUGUGUAGGGAAUGUGUCUGGACUUCAGAUGCAGUUAAACCAAAGCGUGACCGGGGAAGUCCUCCACGUGCUGGUGGAUGACCUGGUGCCUGAGAUACUGUAUAGCAUGCAGGUGGUUGCAGUGACCAGUGCAGGAGCUGGAGAACCCAGCGAGCCAGUAUUUAUUCUCAUCACCCCUGUAGGGGAGCCCUCAUUGCCUGUGCUGAAUGAUGACAGCAGCAGUCUUUCGGAGCACAUCUCGGCACUGUUCAGACAACCAGCUUUUAUUGCCACUCUGGGUUCAGCCUGCUGGAUGGUGCUGAUGGGCUUCAGUGCCUGGAUCUACUGCAGACACAAGAGAAGGAAAGAGCUCGGCCACUAUGCCACUUCUUUUGCCUACACACCUGCAGUUGGCCUCUCCAAUGGUGACGGAUCAGGACUCGGAAGGCCAUGCUUGCUUGGAUCCAACAUGGCUAACUAUCCCUGGCUGGCAGAUUCAUGGCCGAACAACAACUUCAACCAGAGCAGUAAAGACUCAAUGAACUGCUGCACUGGCAAACACGACUCCACAGACAGAUAUUACAACACUGCAGGGACAAACUUCCUGAGGCCGAACCAAGCAUGCAGCCCAACAUCCAACGAAGGCGCCAUUUACAGCACUAUAGACAGAGCUAACGAGUCACAGCAUGACAUGAGUAGUGUUUACUCUCAUGACCUCUACACCAGCUCACCAGUCCUGUCCAAACCUGACCUCGACCAGUGGAGCUUACAGUCUGACCUCAGCACAGCUGAAUAUGCCCAACUCCAGUACCCAAGGACGGACAAUGCUAAUGUGGAAAUGCAGAAGCCUUGUGAGUCAGCGACGUAUAACUGGUCCAAUGUUCUGUCCCUGCCACCGCCAAAUACUCGAGAACAGAGACAGCAGCCCAGGUGUGAGAAUGAUGAAGACUGGUGUGCUCCUCUGCCGGAGAGGACUUAUCGGAUGGAAGGUUUGGAGAACGCAGCCACGUUGCCUUUGAGAGGAGAGCGCUGUGGGCGAGCUACCACCUACAGCCAGCCGUUCACAGCUACCCUAAAUCUAUCUCCUAAUGAGGAACGAAUGCCAGUUAAUCCAUGUUUGCGGCAUCCUGACUUACUGCUACGCAUUAAGGGACCAUGCGCACCAAAUUCCAAAUUAACUCCGCCCAACCCAAACCUUCUCACCAACCUGGAAUCACACAACAGCAGUCUGCCCCGUCUGCCAGGCCACUGGAGAGACAUCUGUCAAGCAGACAGGUCUCAGCACUUAAAAGGUGACGUUGCUUUAUUUGUGCAUGAGAAAUCAAUUCCAUCCCCCACUGAGCAGCCACGGUCCAAAAAGACAUCAUCCAGAGAUGGACCUCGGAGAAGAGAAACCUUGAAACCAGGAGAUCUGCCCCCUCCGCCUGAACCCCCUCCCGGAGAAGGCUGUCAGGUGGACCUGGCAGCCAUGUCGAAGGCCAGAACGCAGCCACCUAGCCGAGAAUGGAGGGCAGAUCAGAGAACACAGAGCCAGUGGAGCACAGAAGGUCUGAAAACCUACUACACACUCACAAAUAGGAUGAGGAGCUUAUCCAUUACAGUGUGAAUAUGCAGUCCAGGAAUCACAUGUCCAGUCGGUAUUCUCCUCCUGAACCUUCCAGCUCUUGCUCUCAUCCCUCCACAGCUUCCCACACCAGGAGGAAAAAAGAGAACGUGUGAGUGGAAGAUGAUGAUGAAUUUCUUCUCAGUGUCCUGCUGUGCCAUGUGAUCCGACAAACUUUUAUUGCAAAUGAUGUCCAGUAGAACACAAGAGCCAUACAAGUGUAUAUGAUUCCCAUCCACCUCCUUAAGCUAUUUAUUUAUUUAUUUAUUAUUUAUUUUAUUUAUUCUGUUGUUAUUUUUGUAUGAUUCCUUGCUAUGUUGAACCCCUGCUUUUAUGCAUACAAUAUUUUUGACUGUGCUUUGUGUGAGUGAACAACAAAAUGUUUCUGAAUGUAUUUUUUUCUAUUUACCUUGAUACCUCGAUGUUUACAUUUAAUUCCAUGCUGUUUAUGUUGUGUAAUACUAGAGUCUCUGCAUCUAAACCCAUAACAGUUUUAUGGUAGAAUAGUACAGCAGUUUAAGGUCCAGCAUCACUGCUUCAAUUCUGUCCACACUGCAAAACUGUCAUCUGCUCCAGAGAGAUGAGUCUUGCCUGCUGAGCUGUGCUGCUGACAUACACAUUAAGAAAUCGUGCAAGCUAAAGUGCUAAUGUUACAAACACUGAAUGGAAGUAAGCAGGGCAUAUUAAUAUUAUACAAAUGAGAUGACCAUGUUGACCGCAUUAAAAUUGUUUAUGUCCUCUGUCGUAUUUUGGAUUGUGCAAGAAAACACAAUAAAGCAAAUGCUGAAAUACAUUUUUUUAAAUAAUAAAAUGAUGCAGUUUGUCUGGAAGCUUUUUUUUUAUUAACGGGUUGGGAUGAUUGAACUAUGACAAGUAAACUACACUGAGCUCUGUUUCCAUUCCAGUGCAGUGUAAUG
Molecule: RNA transcript, 5383 nt
Organism: Pangasianodon hypophthalmus (striped catfish)
Lineage: Eukaryota; Metazoa; Chordata; Actinopteri; Siluriformes; Pangasiidae
Exons: 28
Source: RefSeq, a predicted model, not a curated record